This 406-nucleotide ribosomal RNA is filed under the name uncultured bacterium. RNAcentral's name for it is "bacterial SSU rRNA". It matches the Rfam family "Bacterial small subunit ribosomal RNA", at positions 354 to 776 of the family's 1533-position model. The record is from RNAcentral.
GCAGGGAAUCUUGCGCAAUGGGCGAAAGCCUGACGCAGCGACACCGCGUGGGGGAAGAAGGCCUUCGGGUUGUAAACCCCUUUUCUGGGGGAAGAGGAAGGACGUUACCCCAGGAAGAAGCCUCGGCUAACUACGUGCCAGCAGCCGCGGUAAGACGUAGGAGGCGAGCGUUGUCCGGAUUUACUGGGCGUAAAGAGCGCGUAGGCGGUGAAGGAAGUCCACGGUGAAAGUUCCCGGCUCAACUGGGAAAGGUCCGAGGAUACUCCUUCACUUGAGGGCAGCAGAGGCGGGUGGAAUUCCCGGCGUAGCGGUGAAAUGCGUAGAAUUCGGGAGGAACACCAGAGGCGAAGGCGGCCCGCUGGGCUGCACCUGACGCUGAGGCGCGAUAGCGUGGGGAGCAAACCGG